GUAUAGGGUCUCGGCUUUCUGACAGGAAGUCUAGGGUUCGAAUCCUCGUUGGUCUCUCUUGGUUUUUCCUUCAAGUCCAGCAGCUGGAAUAGCAGCAACUACUUACUACAUGGAUGGAAGAGACUCUUUCUACAACUCGAUUAAGGUCAUUAAAGCGGCGUUGACAAAAAAUAACCCGCAAUUACAGAAGAAGUGUUGGAGUACGGUGAAGAAAAGAAAGGAGUAUUAAAGUUUUAGUAGUAGUGUCCAUACGUAAGACCAUAAAUUACGUACGAAAAUGACGACGAAUUUUAAAGAUCGAAGAACGGAAAGGUGUGAGAACACCAAAAAUAUUGUCUCGUGGUAAAACCACUGCCCUUUGUGGAAAAAUAUAAAAAUACAAAAAAAAAAAGAAAAACACAAAAGAAACAAGAAAUAAGAAAAUUAAAAAAAAAAAAAAAAAAAAAAAGAAGUACCGGAAGGAGAAAAAAUAAUUUUCAAGGACCCUCGAGAUGCCCUACUCUCUAAAAUGGGGAUAAAAAAAAAACGAAUAAGAAACAUUAUUCCAAAGAACUUCCAUGCCAUAUAAAAUGGGACCU
Molecule: small RNA, 578 nt
Filed under: Apis cerana japonica
Lineage: Eukaryota; Metazoa; Arthropoda; Insecta; Hymenoptera; Apidae
Description: partial Nb-1
Source: RNAcentral